CAGCAGCCGCGGUAAUACGUAGGGUGCGAGCGUUAAUCGGAAUUACUGGGCGUAAAGCGUGCGCAGGCGGUUGUGUAAGACAGGUGUGAAAUCCCCGGGCUUAACCUGGGAACUGCGCUUGUGACUGCACAGCUAGAGUAUGGCAGAGGGGGGUGGAAUUCCACGUGUAGCAGUGAAAUGCGUAGAGAUGUGGAGGAACACCGAUGGCGAGGGCAGCCCCCUGGGCCAAUACUGACGCUCAUGCACGAAAGCGUGGGGAGCAAACAGGAUUAGAUACCCCCGUAGUCCCUGUCUCUUAUAC
Molecule: ribosomal RNA, 301 nt
Filed under: uncultured bacterium
Lineage: Bacteria
Description: partial 16S ribosomal RNA
Rfam family: Bacterial small subunit ribosomal RNA
Source: RNAcentral